Non-coding RNA from Cinara cedri, 250 nucleotides. NCBI's taxonomy places the organism in Eukaryota, Metazoa, Arthropoda, Insecta, Hemiptera, Aphididae. The record is from the annotation of a GenBank genome assembly.
AUUAUCUAUUUAAAUAUAAAGCAUAAUAUAUAUAUGUACCAGGCAAGUGUAUAAGGGGGGAUUUUAGGGGUUGAACCCCCUCCUGAAUUUUUAUGAAAAUUAUGAUGAAAGUAUGUUUUUAAUAGAGUCUCAUAAGCAGUUUCUGUCAAUGAGGAAGAUAAAUACAAUUUUGGUUUUAUUUUUAUGUUUUUACUACAUAGUAGGGACAUAUUUUUAUUAUUGUAAUUUCUAAUUUUGUGUGGUUUUCCUG